RNAcentral lists this long non-coding RNA (557 nucleotides) under Cricetulus griseus (Chinese hamster). Its description in RNAcentral is "lncRNA (ENSCGRG00000024750.1)". Lineage: Eukaryota; Metazoa; Chordata; Mammalia; Rodentia; Cricetidae. The record is from RNAcentral.
UGAGCUGUGUGCCUUCUGACCAGCACAUCCCUCCUUUCUAGACCUUACCUCUGAAGUCACACCAGACAUCUUCCCUGCUUUCUAGUCUUUAGAAAGCCUGCCUGUUCUCCCCUCCCCUCCCCUCCCCUCAGCCCUCACCAGAAACAAAGGCUUUAGGACUGUGGGUCUGCGUGAUGUCCUUCAACAGUUGCUGCUCUGUGACCUCACUCCAGCCCCUCUCCUCUCCCCAGGCUGAGCUGAUGAGUGGCCUAAUUGAGUAUUGCAUUGAGCUGAGCCAGGCCUCUGAGCCCACUCUGCCCCAGGAGAGUGCAUCUGGACCUCAGGAAGCUCCCAGCUCCUCUCCACCACCCACUCAGCGCCCCAAGCUGCGGAGGCAGGGUAGUGUGGUGUGUAGCCGGAUUCAGCAUCUCUCCACCAUUGACUAUGUGGAAGAUGGUAAGGGGAUCAAGAGGGUGAAACCAAAGCGCACCACGUCCUUCUUCAGCCGGCAGCUCUCCUCCAGCCAGGGCAGCUACACCGUGGUACAGCCCACUGACGACAGCCUGGAGCAGAGCUGA